AUUGGAUUAUUGAAAACGCUGAGACACUUGUCCCAUAAAAGCUCCUGGGACAGAGAACCAAUCAUGUAAUGGGAGGGAUUUUAAUGAUCAUGAUUGAGUUGGGUUCUUGUUGGUAUCUUUUGUUUGUUUGUAUGUUUUUUAAUCUUGAACAAGGCCACGACCAUAAUCACAUUACUCACAAUAAUUUCAUUUCUUGUUGUCGCAGUGUGGAUGGGAUGCUAAGAU
Molecule: long non-coding RNA, 225 nt
Filed under: Elaeis guineensis (African oil palm)
Lineage: Eukaryota; Viridiplantae; Streptophyta; Magnoliopsida; Arecales; Arecaceae
Description: long non-coding RNA (EGUI_LNC016824)
Source: RNAcentral